RNAcentral lists this unclassified non-coding RNA (231 nucleotides) under plant metagenome. Its description in RNAcentral is "partial contains small subunit ribosomal RNA, internal transcribed spacer 1, and 5.8S ribosomal RNA". The stretch from base 183 to 231 matches the Rfam family "5.8S ribosomal RNA", at positions 1 to 49 of the family's 154-position model. The record is from RNAcentral.
UUUCCGUAGGCGAACCUGCGGAAGGAUCAUUCAUAAUAAAGUGUUUUAUGGCACUUUUUAAAAAUCCAUAUCCACCUUGUGUGCAAUGUUAGAUCUCGUCAAUCUUGGCGAGAUUUUUAUACAUCAACUCAUUCUUUAACUAAUUUGUCUGAAAAAUAUUAUGAAUACUUAAUUCAAAAUACAACUUUCAACAACGGAUCUCUUGGCUCUCGCAUCGAUGUAGAACGCAGC